This 396-nucleotide ribosomal RNA is filed under the name uncultured bacterium. RNAcentral describes it as "partial 16S ribosomal RNA". It matches the Rfam family "Bacterial small subunit ribosomal RNA", at positions 523 to 918 of the family's 1533-position model. The record is from RNAcentral.
AUACGUAGGGGGCGAGCGUUGUCCGGAAUGAUUGGGCGUAAAGGGCGCGUAGGCGGCCCGGUAAGUCUGGAGUGAAAGUCCUGUUUUUAAGAUGGGAAUUGCUUUGGAUACUGUCGGGCUUGAGUGCAGGAGAGGUAAGUGGAAUUCCCAGUGUAGCGGUGAAAUGCGUAGAGAUUGGGAGGAACACCAGUGGCGAAGGCGACUUACUGGACUGUAACUGACGCUGAGGCGCGAAAGUGUGGGGAGCAAACAGGAUUAGAUACCCUGGUAGUCCACGCUGUAAACGAUGAUGACUAGGUGUGGGGGGACUGAACCCUUCCGUGCCGCAGUUAACACAAUAAGUCAUCCACCUGGGGAGUACGGCCGCAAGGUUGAAACUCAAAUGAAUUUACGGGG